AUUGAACGCUGGCGGCAGGCCUAACACAUGCAAGUCGAGCGGAUGAAGGGAGCUUGCUCCUGGAUUCAGCGGCGGACGGGUGAGUAAUGCCUAGGAAUCUGCCUGGUAGUGGGGGAUAACGUCCGGAAACGGGCGCUAAUACCGCAUACGUCCUGAGGGAGAAAGUGGGGGAUCUUCGGACCUCACGCUAUCAGAUGAGCCUAGGUCGGAUUAGCUAGUUGGUGGGGUAAAGGCCUACCAAGGCGACGAUCCGUAACUGGUCUGAGAGGAUGAUCAGUCACACUGGAACUGAGACACGGUCCAGACUCCUACGGGAGGCAGCAGUGGGGAAUAUUGGACAAUGGGCGAAAGCCUGAUCCAGCCAUGCCGCGUGUGUGAAGAAGGUCUUCGGAUUGUAAAGCGCUUUAAGUUGGGAGGAAGGGCAGUAAGUUAAUACCUUGAUGUUUUGACGUUACCAACAGAAUAAGCACCGGCUAACUUCGUG
This 484-nucleotide ribosomal RNA is filed under the name uncultured bacterium. Its description in RNAcentral is "partial 16S ribosomal RNA". It matches the Rfam family "Bacterial small subunit ribosomal RNA", at positions 30 to 507 of the family's 1533-position model. The record is from RNAcentral.